CAUAGCAGCCUGAUGAUCCGGUCGCAAUCGCGAUCGGAGUGUCGCAGGGAAGCCGUUAAGCUUGCCGCCUGGGGAGUACGGUCGCAAGACUGAAACUUAAUUGAAUUGGCGGGGGAGCACCACAAGGGGUGAAGCCUGCGGUUCACUUGGAGUCAACGCCCGGAAACUUACCAGGACAGACAGCAGGUUGAGGGUCAAGCUGAAGACUUUACCUGACGAGCUGAGAGGAGGUGCAUGGCAGCA
Molecule: ribosomal RNA, 243 nt
Filed under: uncultured crenarchaeote
Lineage: Archaea; Thermoproteati; Thermoproteota
Description: partial 16S ribosomal RNA
Rfam family: Archaeal small subunit ribosomal RNA
Source: RNAcentral